CACGAGCGGCGAACGGGUGAGUAACACGUGGGUGACCUGCCCUCCACUCUGGGAUAAGCCUGGGAAACUGGGUCUAAUACCGGAUAGGACCAUUGAUCGCAUGGUUGGUGGUGGAAAGUUUUUUCGGUGGGGGAUGGGCCCGCGGCCUAUCAGCUUGUUGGUGGGGUGAUGGCCUACCAAGGCGGUGACGGGUAGCCGGCCUGAGAGGGCGACCGGCCACACUGGGACUGAGACACGGCCCAGACUCCUACGGGAGGCAGCAGUGGGGAAUAUUGCGCAAUGGGCGGAAGCCUGACGCAGCGACGCCGCGUGGGGGAUGACGGCCUUCGGGUUGUAAACCUCUUUCGCCAGGGACGAAGAGCAAUUGACGGUACCUGGAGAAGAAGCACCGGCCAACUACGUGCCAGCAGCCGCGGUAACACGUAGGGUGCGAGCGUUGUCCGGAAUUAUUGGGCGUAAAGAGCUCGUAGGCGGUGUGUCGCGUCGGCCGUGAAAACUUGGGGCUUAACUCUGAGCGUGCGGUCGAUACGGGCAUCACUUGAGUUCGGCAGGGGAGACUGGAAUUCCUGGUGUAGCGGUGAAAUGCGCAGAUAUCAGGAGGAACACCGGUGGCGAAGGCGGGGUCUCUGGGCCGAUACUGACGCUGAGGAGCGAAAGCGUGGGGAGCGAACAGGAUUUAGAUACCCUGGUAGUCCACGCCGUA
Molecule: ribosomal RNA, 703 nt
Filed under: Pseudonocardia sp. KLBMP 1285
Lineage: Bacteria; Bacillati; Actinomycetota; Actinomycetes; Pseudonocardiales; Pseudonocardiaceae
Description: bacterial SSU rRNA
Rfam family: Bacterial small subunit ribosomal RNA
Source: RNAcentral